GUCGAGCGGAUGAAGGGAGCUUGCUCCUGGAUUCAGCGGCGGACGGGUGAGUAAUGCCUAGGAAUCUGCCUGGUAGUGGGGGAUAACGUCCGGAAACGGGCGCUAAUACCGCAUACGUCCUGAGGGAGAAAGUGGGGGAUCUUCGGACCUCACGCUAUCAGAUGAGCCUAGGUCGGAUUAGCUAGUUGGUGGGGUAAAGGCCUACCAAGGCGACGAUCCGUAACUGGUCUGAGAGGAUGAUCAGUCACACUGGAACUGAGACACGGUCCAGACUCCUACGGGAGGCAGCAGUGGGGAAUAUUGGACAAUGGGCGAAAGCCUGAUCCAGCCAUGCCGCGUGUGUGAAGAAGGUCUUCGGAUUGUAAAGCACUUUAAGUUGGGAGGAAGGGCAGUAAGUUAAUACCUUGCUGUUUUGACGUUACCAACAGAAUAAGCACCGGCUAACUUCGUGCCAGCAGCCGCGGUAAUACGAAGGGUGCAAGCGUUAAUCGGAAUUACUGGGCGUAAAGCGCGCGUAGGUGGUUCAGCAAGUUGGAUGUGAAAUCCCCGGGCUCACCUGGGAACUGCAUCCAAAACUACUGACUAGAGUACGGUAGAGGGUGGUGGAAUUCCUGUGUAGCGGUGAAAUGCGUA
Molecule: ribosomal RNA, 633 nt
Filed under: Pseudomonas sp. GPM2527
Lineage: Bacteria; Pseudomonadati; Pseudomonadota; Gammaproteobacteria; Pseudomonadales; Pseudomonadaceae
Description: bacterial SSU rRNA
Rfam family: Bacterial small subunit ribosomal RNA
Source: RNAcentral